This is a non-coding RNA of Odocoileus virginianus texanus, 2019 nucleotides long. The record is from RefSeq and is a predicted model, not a curated record. Lineage: Eukaryota; Metazoa; Chordata; Mammalia; Artiodactyla; Cervidae.
GCCUUCUUCCCCUGGCCUUUGACUCUCCAGUAGAGAGCUGCCAUGCUGGAAAGGACCCAGGACGUCUGGUUCUGCAAAGAAAAGCCCUCCACCACAAUGUACAGUCAUGUCUCGGAGAUAUUGCUUGUUGGUUACAGACCUCCACGAUGAAGUGAAUAUUGCAAAAAAGUGUUUUAUAAUGAAAAUUUUCAAAUGCAUAUACAAAUAAAGGAAACAGUAUAAUGAACUCCAUGUGCUCACCACCUAGAUUCAACAUUUAUCAACAACUCAUGGCCAUACUCAUGUACUCGAGGUAAUCGUUGUCCCGUGGAAUGAAUUCGGGAGCACUGCCUUCUCUUCAGUUUUUUGGAAUACUUUGAGAGGAGUGUGUUAUCUGUAAAUAGCACAUAAUUGGGUUCAACAUUUUAACCUAGUCUGAUGUGAGCACUCUAAUUGAGAACAGCCUCUGCUUUAAACUGGUCGAGAGUAAGGGCUGCUGACCCCAAAACGUAGACCCACCCUAGGAUGAGAAGACAACAGUGAUGGUAGGCAGCUGACCCAACCAUCUGGACCUGUAAGAUCAACCCCACUAAUUUAACUGAACUGUUUACCAAAUGUGUGUCUCUCUAUCAACACUGAAAGUUAUUUUUUUACUUCUAACCAUACUGUUGCCCUUAAUGUUUAGGAUGGUAAGAAAAUUCUCAAGUGAAGUCGUCACAGAGAAUUAUGAAUUAUCUUGACCACUUGUGACAUGUUUCACUGCAAGUCUACUGCUAAAAUUUUAUAAUUAUAAAAUUUUAAAAUAAAGUUGUAAUUCAGUAUAAUUGGUAAAAUGUAUAGCCUAUAGAAACAUUUCCAUUAGAAAAAAGAAAGACUGGGAAAAACUCGAAGCCCCUGGUGGAAAGCCACAGCCGGGAGCCUCUAAGUACCAUGGUUCUUGUGGCGGACUGUGUCCCUGCUCUGUGCGUGUGGGGCUAUUCCAGAAGACACUCGUUCUCGUAUGGGACUCAGAGCAUUAUGUCAGGGCAGUCCUCACUUCUAACCAUCUGACUUGCUCCCUCGCACCUCAAGUCACUUGGCAGGAAAGAAGGUGGGCAGAGAACAGCCCUGGCCUAAGUAAGUGCUUAUUCUGGAGGUACGAGUCGGCUGCUGCUGUGGUGUCCUGGCCCCUUAAUCCUUCUGAGUGAAGCCCACGCUAAGUGAGGCCAAUUACAUGAGUAUAAAAUGUCUAACUGGAUCUAAGACCAUCUACAGCAGUCAGUGUAAUUCCUUUCUGCCUUUCGUAUUGCUUUUGCCAUGAACUAUAACCUCAGAAGACAGUACUGUUGUUAUUUAGUAUCAACAUACUUAUUUACAUAUACCUUAAUAUUUACUCUUGCUGUAUUUUCUUUGCUUUUUUCUGUUUUUCUGAGUUUCUACCUGGAAUAGUUUUCCUUCUGCCUGAAAAAAAUCCCUUCAGUGAUUUUUAAUGCAAGUCUGUUGAUUAACAUGUAUCUUUCAGUUUCUGGUGGUCUAAAACCUUUAUCUAAACUUCAUUUUUAAAAAUCCAGGUAUAAUAGAAAUGCUCAGACCUUAGGAAUAACAUUCAGUUUUGAUUAUUACUUAAAGACUCAGAAAACUUCCAACACUCCAGAAAGUCCUUUCAAGCUGCUUUCCUUCCCCUGACAAAGCAAUCACUCUUCUGAUGUCUACCACCAGAGGUUAAUUUUGCCUGUUCUAGAAUUUGUAUAGUUGGGAUCAUACACCAUACGUUUUUUUUUGUGUCCAGUGACUUAAUAGCACAAUAUUUAUGAGAUUCAUCAAUAUGGAUAUAGGGUGUUUUAGAAUAGUAUCCAUUGUAUAAGUAUAACACUGAUUAUCAAUUCUCCUAUUGAUGGGUAUCUGAUUCCAGGUUUUUGGCUGUUACAAAUAAAUCUGCCGUGAACAUUUUUAAACAAGUAUUUUUGGACAUAGUUUUCAUGGUGUUUCUCCGGUGGCUCAGACAGUAAAGAAUACGCCUGCAAUGCAGGAGACCUGGGUUCAAUCUCUGGGUCAGGAAGA